CCCUUAGAUGUCCGGGGCCGCACGCGCGCUACACCGAAGGAAUCAGCGUGGCUUUCUCCCUGACCCGAAAGGGUUGGGAAACCCGUUGAAUCUCCUUCGUGAUAGGGAUUGGGGCUUGAAAUUGUUCCCCAUGAACGAGGAAUUCCCAGUAAGCGCGAGUCAUAAGCUCGCGUUGAUUACGUCCCUGCCCUUUGUACACACCGCCCGUCGCUACUACCGAUUGAACGGUUUAGUGAGGGCCUCGGAUUGGUCUCGGCCCGCUCUUUACCGGGCGGCGCCGUUGGUCGAGAAGACGCUCGAACUUGAUCGUUUAGAGGAAGUAAAAGUCGUAACA
RNAcentral lists this ribosomal RNA (334 nucleotides) under uncultured eukaryote. Its description in RNAcentral is "partial 18S ribosomal RNA". It matches the Rfam family "Eukaryotic small subunit ribosomal RNA", at positions 1470 to 1796 of the family's 1831-position model. The record is from RNAcentral.